RNAcentral lists this ribosomal RNA (403 nucleotides) under uncultured bacterium. Its description in RNAcentral is "bacterial SSU rRNA". It matches the Rfam family "Bacterial small subunit ribosomal RNA", at positions 355 to 775 of the family's 1533-position model. The record is from RNAcentral.
CGAGGAAUCUUCCACAAUGGGCGAAAGCCCGAUGGAGCAACGCCGCGUGGAGGACGACGGCCUUCGGGUUGUAAACUCCUUUCGGAGGGGAUGAAGAGGACAGUACCCUCAGAAGCAGCCCCGGCUAACUCUGUGCCAGCAGCCGCGGUAAUACAGAGGGGGCAAGCGUUGUCCGGAAUUACUGGGCGUACAGCGCGCGCAGGCGGAUGUGGACGUGCCGUGUGACAAGCCACCGCUCAACGGUGGAGGGCCAUGGUACACGACACAUCUGGAGGCAGGGAGAGGGAUGUGGAAUGCCCGGUGGAGCGGUGAAAUGCGUAGAGAUCGGGCGGAACACCAGCGGCGAAGGCGGCAUCCUGGCCCUGACCUGACGCUGAGGCGCGAGAGCGUGGGGAGCGAACUG